GAUGAACGCUGGCGGCGUGCCUAAUACAUGCAAGUCGAGCGAACGGACGAGAAGCUUGCUCCUCUGACGUUAGCGGCGGACGGGUGAGUAACACGUGGAUAACCUACCUAUAAGACUGGGAUAACUUCGGGAAACCGGAGCUAAUACCGGAUGAUAUUUUGAACCGCAUGGUUCAAUAGUGAAAGACGGUCUUGCUGUCACUUAUAGAUGGAUCCGCGCUGCAUUAGCUAGUUGGUAAGGUAACGGCUUACCAAGGCAACGAUGCAUAGCCGACCUGAGAGGGUGAUCGGCCACACUGGAACUGAGACACGGUCCAGACUCCUACGGGAGGCAGCAGUAGGGAAUCUUCCGCAAUGGGCGAAAGCCUGACGGAGCAACGCCGCGUGAGUGAUGAAGGUCUUCGGAUCGUAAAACUCUGUUAUUAGGGAAGAACAUAUGUGUAAGUAACUGUGCACAUCUUGACGGUACCUAAUCAGAAAGCCACGGCUAACUACGUG
Molecule: ribosomal RNA, 497 nt
Filed under: uncultured bacterium
Lineage: Bacteria
Description: partial 16S ribosomal RNA
Rfam family: Bacterial small subunit ribosomal RNA
Source: RNAcentral